AUUGAACGCUGGCGGCAGGCCUAACACAUGCAAGUCGAGCGGAUGAAGGGAGCUUGCUCCUGGAUUCAGCGGCGGACGGGUGAGUAAUGCCUAGGAAUCUGCCUGGUAGUGGGGGAUAACGUCCGGAAACGGGCGCUAAUACCGCAUACUUCCUGAGGGAGAAAGUGGGGGAUCUUCGGACCUCACGCUAUCAGAUGAGCCUAGGUCGGAUUAGCUAGUUGGUGGGGUAGAGGCCUACCAAGGCGACGAUCCGUAACUGGUCUGAGAGGAUGAUCAGUCACACUGGAACUGAGACACGGUCCAGACUCCUACGGGAGGCAGCAGUGGGGAAUUUUGGACAAUGGGCGCAAGCCUGAUCCAGCAAUGCCGCGUGCGGGAAGAAGGCCUUCGGGUUGUAAACCGCUUUUGGCAGGAACGAAGCGGUGUCCGCUAAUACCGGGCGCUAAUGACGGUACCUGCAGAAUAAGCACCGGCUAACUACGUG
Molecule: ribosomal RNA, 484 nt
Filed under: uncultured bacterium
Lineage: Bacteria
Description: partial 16S ribosomal RNA
Rfam family: Bacterial small subunit ribosomal RNA
Source: RNAcentral